Long non-coding RNA from Spea bombifrons (plains spadefoot toad), 711 nucleotides. RefSeq lists it as uncharacterized. Lineage: Eukaryota; Metazoa; Chordata; Amphibia; Anura; Pelobatidae. The transcript has 2 exons. The record is from RefSeq and is a predicted model, not a curated record.
GACUGAAGUAAUCGAAUUCGGUACUCUCGUUAGAAAAGAAGAUCCAGCAAGUCUGUGCACUACUGACCCAGAGACAUUGUUUUGUUUUGCUUUUUUUUUUUUUUUUCCUCCAUGGAAUAAAGUAAUACAUUCAUUAUUUUCUGCAACUAAAAAUAUUCAGUUAUUCCAUUUUUGUAGCUUACAACUCAGUCAACUGUGUCAACAGUGCAGGAAGAGUUGGGAACAAUGACAGUUCCCCCCAGCAAACUGCCUUUCUUCAGAGUAUCCAGGGAGCAUAAAAUAACACUUACUACAAACAUGCCUUCAUAUUCUGUUUCAGUUUAUUAGAUUUCCUCUGUUCAUCCCAUGAAUGUAAUCGCUCCCUGUGCUAUCAGUGCUUUUAUUAAACUGAGUUUUAUCUGUUCGUCGUUAGUGAGUAGACCCACUGAUUUUGGUAUCUUGAUGAAAAAGUACAUUCCAUAAUUUAUUUGCUGCAUGUUUCAAAUUUUAAUUGGUGAGUGAAUUUUAUAUUUUUUCAGAAUGUCUAAUAGUACAUAGUUUCAAUAAUAGUUAAGUAGUACUGAGCAAACAAAUGUAAUUUACCCACUAGAGAAUGACUUCCACCGCAGUGUUUCUCCAGAGCUUACUACAGAGGACAAGAGGUGAACUAUCAUACUACUUUGAUUAGAUGUUGUAGCCUUACUAAUCAUAUUAAAGACCUAUAACAUGGGG